RNAcentral lists this ribosomal RNA (460 nucleotides) under uncultured bacterium. RNAcentral describes it as "partial 16S ribosomal RNA". It matches the Rfam family "Bacterial small subunit ribosomal RNA", at positions 338 to 795 of the family's 1533-position model. The record is from RNAcentral.
CCUACGGGUGGCAGCAGUGAGGAAUAUUGGUCAAUGGGCGGAAGCCUGAACCAGCCAAGUCGCGUGAGGGACUAAGGCCCUACGGGUCGUAAACCUCUUUUGCCGGGGAUCAGUGCCCAGCUCGCGAGCUGGGAGGGAGCGUACCCGGAGAAAAAGCAUCGGCUAACUCCGUGCCAGCAGCCGCGGUAAUACGGAGGAUGCGAGCGUUAUCCGGAUGUAUUGGGUUUCAAGGGUGCGUAGGCGGUCCUUCAGGCCGGCGGUAAAAGUGCGGGGCUCAACCCCGCCGAGCCGUCGGGAACGGGGGCAUUGAGUACCGGAGAAGUACGCGGAAUGCGUGGUGUAGCGGUGAAAGUCAUAGAUAUCACGCAGAACCCCGAUUGCGAAGGCAGCGUACCGGCCGGGCACUGACGCUGAGGCACGAAAGCGCGGGUAUCGAACAGGAGUAGAUACCCCAGUAGUC